Molecule: long non-coding RNA, 201 nt
Filed under: Elaeis guineensis (African oil palm)
Lineage: Eukaryota; Viridiplantae; Streptophyta; Magnoliopsida; Arecales; Arecaceae
Description: long non-coding RNA (EGUI_LNC038670)
Source: RNAcentral
ACCGAUGGAUCCUGCCCUAUGGUAGAAGCUCGUCUAGGAUCCGGCUACAAAGAAGCUCGGCUGAAGUCUACCUGUAAUGGAAGUUCGAAAGAAAUUUAUUUAUAGUAGAAGCUCGAAUGGAAUUUGCUUACAAUAGAUAUCCAGAGUAGACCGCCUGCCGUAGGAGUUUGAAGUAGACCACUCGCUGUAGGAGUUCGGAGU